This 322-nucleotide unclassified non-coding RNA is filed under the name uncultured fungus. RNAcentral describes it as "sequence contains ITS1". The stretch from base 1 to 105 matches the Rfam family "5.8S ribosomal RNA", at positions 50 to 154 of the family's 154-position model. The record is from RNAcentral. Lineage: Eukaryota; Fungi.
GAAAUGCGAUAAGUAAUGUGAAUUGCAGAAUUCAGUGAAUCAUCGAAUCUUUGAACGCACAUUGCGCCCCUUGGUAUUCCGGGGGGCAUGCCUGUCCGAGCGUCAUUACACCAAUCAAGCACAGCUUGGCAUUGGGCACCACGUCUGCGCCCUCACGGGGGCAGGCGGGCCCGAAGAACCUUGACGGGGCCGCGAGAGGAACCGGGCGUAGCAGAAUCUGUCACGACGUCCGGGCAUCCGACCGCGAGCUCCACGCCGGAAGGGCGAAAGCACACAUCACAAGGUUGACCUCGGAUCAGGUAGGGAUACCCGCUGAACUUAA